AUUGAACGCUGGCGGCAUGCCUUACACAUGCAAGUCGAACGGCAGCACGGGUACUUGCACCUGGUGGCGAGUGGCGAACGGGUGAGUAAUACAUCGGAACAUGUCCUGUAGUGGGGGAUAGCCCGGCGAAAGCCGGAUUAAUACCGCAUACGAUCCACGGAUGAAAGCGGGGGACCUUCGGGCCUCGCGCUAUAGGGUUGGCCGAUGGCUGAUUAGCUAGUUGGUGGGGUAAAGGCCUACCAAGGCGACGAUCAGUAGCUGGUCUGAGAGGACGACCAGCCACACUGGGACUGAGACACGGCCCAGACUCCUACGGGAGGCAGCAGUGGGGAAUUUUGGACAAUGGGCGAAAGCCUGAUCCAGCAAUGCCGCGUGUGUGAAGAAGGCCUUCGGGUUGUAAAGCACUUUUGUCCGGAAAGAAAUCCUUGACUCUAAUACAGUCGGGGGAUGACGGUACCGGAAGAAUAAGCACCGGCUAACUACGUG
Molecule: ribosomal RNA, 486 nt
Filed under: uncultured bacterium
Lineage: Bacteria
Description: partial 16S ribosomal RNA
Rfam family: Bacterial small subunit ribosomal RNA
Source: RNAcentral